This 336-nucleotide unclassified non-coding RNA is filed under the name soil metagenome. RNAcentral describes it as "partial contains 5.8S ribosomal RNA, internal transcribed spacer 2, and large subunit ribosomal RNA". The stretch from base 1 to 120 matches the Rfam family "5.8S ribosomal RNA", at positions 35 to 154 of the family's 154-position model. The record is from RNAcentral.
GAUGAAGAACGCAGCGAAAUGCGAUAAGUAAUGUGAAUUGCAGAAUUCCGUGAAUCAUCGAAUCUUUGAACGCACAUUGCGCCCCCUGGCAUUCCGGGGGGCAUGCCUGUCCGAGCGUCAUUUCUGCCCUCAAGCACGGCUUGUGUGUUGGGUGCGGUCCCCCCGGGGACCUGCCCGAAAGGCAGCGGCGACGUCCGUCUGGUCCUCGAGCGUAUGGGGCUCUGUCACUCGCUCGGGAAGGACCUGCGGGGGUUGGUCACCACUAUAUUUUACCACGGUUGACCUCGGAUCAGGUAGGGAUACCCGCUGAACUUAAGCAUAUCAAUAAGCGGAGGA